Molecule: ribosomal RNA, 497 nt
Filed under: uncultured bacterium
Lineage: Bacteria
Description: partial 16S ribosomal RNA
Rfam family: Bacterial small subunit ribosomal RNA
Source: RNAcentral
GAUGAACGCUGGCGGCGUGCCUAAUACAUGCAAGUCGAGCGAACAGACGAGGAGCUUGCUCCUCUGACGUUAGCGGCGGACGGGUGAGUAACACGUGGAUAACCUACCUAUAAGACUGGGAUAACUUCGGGAAACCGGAGCUAAUACCGGAUAACAUGUUGAACCGCAUGGUUCAACAGUGAAAGACGGUCUUGCUGUCACUUAUAGAUGGAUCCGCGCCGCAUUAGCUAGUUGGUAAGGUAACGGCUUACCAAGGCAACGAUGCGUAGCCGACCUGAGAGGGUGAUCGGCCACACUGGAACUGAGACACGGUCCAGACUCCUACGGGAGGCAGCAGUAGGGAAUCUUCCGCAAAGGGCGAAAGCCUGACGGAGCAACGCCGCGUGAGUGAUGAAGGUCUUCGGAUCGUAAAACUCUGUUAUUAGGGAAGAACAAAUGUGUAAGUAACUAUGCACGUCUUGACGGUACCUAAUCAGAAAGCCACGGCUAACUACGUG